GAUGAACGCUGACAGAAUGCUUAACACAUGCAAGUCAACUUGAACUUCGGUUUGGGUGGCGGACGGGUGAGUAACGCGUAAAGAACUUGCCUCACAGCUAGGGACAACAUUUGGAAACGAAUGCUAAUACCUGAUAUUAUGAUUAUAUGGCAUCGUAUAAUUAUGAAAGCUAUAUGCGCUGUGAGAGAGCUUUGCGUCCCAUUAGCUAGUUGGAGAGGUAACAGCUCACCAAGGCGAUGAUGGGUAGCCGGCCUGAGAGGGUGAUCGGCCACAAGGGGACUGAGACACGGCCCUUACUCCUACGGGAGGCAGCAGUGGGGAAUAUUGGACAAUGGACCGAGAGUCUGAUCCAGCAAUUCUGUGUGCACGAUGAGGUUUUUCGGAAUGUAAAGUGCUUUCAGUUGGGAAGAAAAAAAUGACGGUACCAACAGAAGAAGUGACGGCUAAAUACGUG
RNAcentral lists this ribosomal RNA (454 nucleotides) under uncultured bacterium. RNAcentral describes it as "partial 16S ribosomal RNA". It matches the Rfam family "Bacterial small subunit ribosomal RNA", at positions 28 to 507 of the family's 1533-position model. The record is from RNAcentral.